Molecule: ribosomal RNA, 490 nt
Filed under: uncultured bacterium
Lineage: Bacteria
Description: partial 16S ribosomal RNA
Rfam family: Bacterial small subunit ribosomal RNA
Source: RNAcentral
AUUGAACGCUGGCGGCAGGCCUAACACAUGCAAGUCGAACGGUAACAGGAAACAGCUUGCUGUUUCGCUGACGAGUGGCGGACGGGUGAGUAAUGUCUGGGAAACUGCCUGAUGGAGGGGGAUAACUACUGGAAACGGUAGCUAAUACCGCAUAACGUCGCAAGACCAAAGAGGGGGACCUUCGGGCCUCUUGCCAUCGGCUGUGCCCAGAUGGGAUUAGCUAGUAGGUGGGGUAACGGCUCACCUAGGCGACGAUCCCUAGCUGGUCUGAGAGGAUGACCAGCCACACUGGAACUGAGACACGGUCCAGACUCCUACGGGAGGCAGCAGUGGGGAAUAUUGCACAAUGGGCGCAAGCCUGAUGCAGCCAUGCCGCGUGUAUGAAGAAGGCCUUCGGGUUGUAAAGUACUUUCAGCGGGGAUGAAGGGAGUAAAGUUAAUACCUUUGCUCAUUGACGUUACCCGCAGAAGAAGCACCGGCUAACUCCGUG